This 253-nucleotide ribosomal RNA is filed under the name uncultured bacterium. RNAcentral's name for it is "partial 16S ribosomal RNA". It matches the Rfam family "Bacterial small subunit ribosomal RNA", at positions 524 to 776 of the family's 1533-position model. The record is from RNAcentral. RNAcentral also lists the same sequence under 1 other name.
AACGUAGGAGACGAGCGUUAUCCGGAAUUACUGGGCGUAAAGCGCGAGUAGGCGGCUUUUUAAGUGGUCUGUGAAAGCGUCCGGCUCAACUGGACGAGGCCGGAUCAGACUGGAAGGCUAGAGGGUCAGAGAGGCAGGCGGAAUUCCGGGUGUAGUGGUGAAAUGCGUAGAGAUCCGGAGGAACACCAGUGGCGAAGGCGGCCUGCUGGCUGACAACUGACGCUGAGGCGCGAAAGCAUGGGGAGCGAACGGG